This 1591-nucleotide long non-coding RNA is filed under the name Olea europaea subsp. europaea. Lineage: Eukaryota; Viridiplantae; Streptophyta; Magnoliopsida; Lamiales; Oleaceae. The record is from RNAcentral.
CAACAACUGUGAUUUAUGGAUUUCUUUUCUUUCAAGACUAUGCUAGACCCGCAAUACAGAUUACUAUCAAAGAAGCAAGGGUAAAAAGAGGAAUGUAUGCGGAGACGAAGCCACAUGCACGGUUGGUUAUGGGAAUAGUCUAGAAGUAGAAUGACCUAUAAAUAAGGGAAUGGAAUUGCAGUAGGGCAAGAGCAGUGGACCUCUCGAUCAUCCAUUCCUAUCUUGUUAUUUCUUUUUCUUUUCAUCGUCUUUUGUUAUUUGAAAUCAGAAAUCCUAUAGCAGUCCUAUUUCGUGUAAUCAAAGUGUAGUAAUGAAGAAUUGAGAUUCUGCUAAACUUCAAUUACUCUAUAAACUUUUUUGGUGAAGUGAGAUUAUUUCAAAACUUUAUCAUUGGUAUCAGAGCAAAUCAAUCAUGAUGGUAAAUUUAGCAGAUCGAGUGGGAAGUUUAGAAGGGACUCAACAAAAACUACAGGAGCGAUUUGAAGGAAUGCAAAUAGGAAUGGAAAUGAUACAGGCUGAGUUGCAAAGGGUACAGAACAUGGAAAAAAAAAUAUGGCUUUUAUUUCAGAGCAAUUCACCUUCAUAAGGAACAAAUGGGAGGAGGCAGAACGAGACAGAAAGGCAAGGGACAAGUGGGAACGAAGGACUCGGAAUAUGCUGUGCAAUCUGAGUAUUCUCUGAGCAUGGAGACGAACGGCAAAGAAACGGGCAGACCGACCGGCGAGAACUGGAGAACAGAAUUCAGAGGGAGGAGGUUGGAGAUGCCGGUGUUCAUGGGUAAAAAUCCAGAUAAUUGGAUCUUCAGGUUCUAGUCCAAGUGCCCUAUCUGUAUUACUGGUCUAACAGACUAUUUUUCAUCAACUAAAGUUGUGCUGGAAUAGGAUAAGCCCUAUUUGCAAACUAUCCUAAUACCAAUUUUAUAUUCUAGUCCAAAUGCCCUAUUUUGGAUGAUUAUGAUUUGUUAUUAAAGUAUUAUCCAAAUACUAAAACUCAAUUUUAUCCAAUUUAUAUUGAAAAGUGGUGGCUAAUUGAUUAUUGAUAAUGAAUACAAUUCUUUUAUUUAAUCCAAACUUAGUUUGAUUAUGAUAAACUUCAAAACUAAUUCUUCAUUAAUUAGGAUUCAUCAACUAGUCACACUAUAAAUAAGGCAUUAGAUUAGUCAAUUUUCACAUCUAAUUGUCGCCAACAAAAAGGUCCCAAAUUAUUACUGGAAAAUGAGAAGCCUUUCAUCCAUUAGAAAUUAUUUAAAAGCAUUACACGCACCAUUAUCUAGAACUUGCAAUCGUAUUUUUGAAUCUAUCGAGGUAAGAUACCUUGUGCAAGUGUUUCCAUUUUUUUAUACUUUUAUAUUCAAUUAAAUACGCAUGGAUUACCAAUGGACCUUGGGUUCUUUAAAAAGAGAGAAGAAAUCCUAAGGGAUUAUAAGAGGACCUAAGAUGUGUGUGUCGUUUGGUCACCAAUAUACUCCAUAAGAGCAAAGUGGAAUGAAGUGUAGAUUUUAUUUGUUAUAUAAUAAUGUAUGAAAACUGCACGUAUCUUACUGGGUGUUUUCAAAUACUCACUCUCAUAUUUUUUUUUCAGUUUAGUCCGG